This is a long non-coding RNA of Selaginella moellendorffii, 165 nucleotides long. RefSeq lists it as uncharacterized. The record is from RefSeq and is a predicted model, not a curated record. Lineage: Eukaryota; Viridiplantae; Streptophyta; Lycopodiopsida; Selaginellales; Selaginellaceae. The transcript is spliced from 2 exons.
GCCAGGGAUGGUGGAUUUUUUGAUACCGUGUCUCGCAACGUGGCCUCCUGUUCGAGCAGAUUCCUCGGAAGAGUGUCGUAUACGUCCGUGAAGAGCUCGGACAAUGGAGAAGAAGCGAUGUUGAUGGUUGCUUGCGAAGAAAUUCAAUGUACCUCUUUUCGCGCC